Molecule: ribosomal RNA, 494 nt
Filed under: uncultured bacterium
Lineage: Bacteria
Description: partial 16S ribosomal RNA
Rfam family: Bacterial small subunit ribosomal RNA
Source: RNAcentral
GAACGCUGGCGGCGUGCCUAAUACAUGCAAGUCGAGCGAACAGAUGAGGAGCUUGCUCCUCUGACGUUAGCGGCGGACGGGUGAGUAACACGUGGAUAACCUACCUAUAAGACUGGGAUAACUACGGGAAACCGGAGCUAAUACCGGAUAAUAUAUUGAACCGCAUGGUUCAAUAGUGAAAGACGGUUUUGCUGUCACUUAUAGAUGGAUCCGCGCCGCAUUAGCUAGUUGGUAAGGUAACGGCUUACCAAGGCAACGAUGCGUAGCCGACCUGAGAGGGUGAUCGGCCACACUGGAACUGAGACACGGUCCAGACUCCUACGGGAGGCAGCAGUAGGGAAUCUUCCGCAAUGGGCGAAAGCCUGACGGAGCAACGCCGCGUGAGUGAUGAAGGUCUUCGGAUCGUAAAACUCUGUUAUUAGGGAAGAACAAAUGUGUAAGUAACUAUGCACGUCUUGACGGUACCUAAUCAGAAAGCCACGGCUAACUACGUG